RNAcentral lists this long non-coding RNA (1139 nucleotides) under Oryctolagus cuniculus (rabbit). RNAcentral's name for it is "lncRNA (ENSOCUG00000037433.1)". The record is from RNAcentral. Lineage: Eukaryota; Metazoa; Chordata; Mammalia; Lagomorpha; Leporidae.
GAAUUAAUGGUUCAGGAGUCCAGAAGAAUGGGUGGUGGAUAAUGCAAGCACUAGUGCAGACUUGAGUCUUCCUUUGGCCCAAGAAAGACAAAUUAACUUUCAUGUCUCAGGAAGAGUAUAAUAGAGGUGAACCAAAGAGCAAACAAGAUAACUCACAAAUUGAGGUUCAAAUAAGUCAGAAGCAGAGAAUGAAACCAAGACCAGAACACUGUCUGAAGCAAGCCCAGAAGCAAAAAGAGAAGGACGACAUGCUCAUAUCUCCAAGCUGUCCACUGCUGAACCCCGGAGGCCCUGUAGAGUUACAGUAGGAAGUAUCAGUCUUUUCUUUGUCCCAAACAAAGUCUGUUUAGGACUCAGAGGCUCAGAGGCAAUGCCUCCGUGACAGCAGGCUUGUAACUCUGACUGCCACCUGUUCUGGAGCAAUUUUUCAGUGAAGUGUCUACAACAGUGCAACAUCUCUCAACCCCAAACAUCUACAAAGCUUCUUGAAAUGGAAAAUUUUCUCAUGUACUCCUUAUGCUGAAGUGAAUUCUUUUGAUUAUAAUAUAUCUUAAACCUGUGCAAACUUAAUAGUAGGUAUACAGUGUUUUUUUAAAAAUUAUUUAUUCAGUUAUUUGAAAGGCAGAGUUACAGAGAGGCAGAGGCAGAGAGAGAGAGAGAGAGAGACAGACAGACAGGUCUUCCAUCUGCCGGUUCACUCUCCAGAUGGCUGCAACGGCCAGAGCUGCGCUGAUACGAAGCCAGGAGCCAGAAGCUUCUUCUGGGUCUCCCAUGCAGGUGCAGGGCCCUAAGGAGUUGGGCCCAUCUUCUACUGCUUUCCCAGGCCAUAGCAGAGAGCUGAUCAGAAGUGGAAUAGCCGGGACUUGAGUCAGCACCCUAUGGGAUGCUGGCACUGCAGACUGGGGCUUUAACCACAGCGCCGGCCCCGAUAUACAGUUCAUGUUUGGAGUUCUAACAUAGCUAUGAAACAAAAUAUUUGAUACACAAACAAUAGAACAUUUCAACCUAAUAUUAUCAUAAAGUUUUAUUUCAGUGUGUUAGAUAUACAGUGACAUACAUGAAUUAUGUGUAAUAUUGUAUGAAUUUUACAUACACAUUUAUAUUCAUUUUUAAUAAAGUUUUAAUUUCAGAAUAGACCA